CGGGGCUCGAACUCACGGACCGCGAGAUCGUGACCUGGCUGAAGUCGGACGCUUAACCGACUGCGCCACCCAGGCGCCCCUGCCCAGUUGUUAUUCUUAAAAACGUAGGUUCCAAAACUUAAAGUGGAUCAUAGGUGUAAACAUAAAAUGUAAAACUUAUAAAAGCUUUUAGGAGAAAACAUUCAGGACCUAGAGCUCGGUGAAGAGUUCUUAGACACGAGACCCAGAAGCGCAUUCAUGAAGAAAAAAAAUCGAAAUUUGAUUUAACUGAAACAGAAAGCUUUUAUUUCAACAAAAUCUGUUAAGGGGUGCCUGCAUGGCUCAGUCGGUUAAGCAUCCGACUCCAGGUCAGGUCAUGAUCUCAUGGAUUGUGGGGUCGAGCCCUGCGUCGGGCUCUGAGCUGACAGCUCAGAGCCCGGAGCCUGCUUCACAUUCUGUGUCUCCCUCUCUCUCUGCCCCUCUGUCCUUGUGCUCUCUUUCUCCCUCUCUCUCUCAAAAAUAAAUAAAAACUUUAAAAAAAAUGUUAAGAGAAUGAAAAGCUGCAGACUAAAUUGCAGACCCGAUAUCUGAUAAAGGACUCCUAUCUGGAAUAUAUAAGGAACUCUCACAACAGAAGGAAGGAAGAGGGUAUAUAAAUGGCAGAUAAGCACAGGAGAGCAUCAUUGGCCAUUAAGGAAAAAUGCAAAUGAAGGCCAUGAUGAGCCAUCAUCACACACCUGUUAGGAUAGCUUAACUAAAAAAGAGUGCUGGGGCGCCUGGGUGGCUCAGCCGAAUAAGCGUCCCACUCUUGGUUUCACUCAGGUCAUGAUCCCAGAGUUGCGCGAUCGAGCCCUACAUCAGCAAGGUUCCAAAAAGAGUGCGGAUACCAAAUGCUGACAAGGCUGUAGAGAAGCUGAAUCUUUCGUACAUUGGUGGUGGCACUGUAAAUGGUACAGUUACUCUGGAAAACAGUUUGGCAGUUUCUUAAGAAACUAACAUACACUUUCUGUGUAACCCAGUAACCACGCUCCGCCUGGGCGUUUAUUCCAGAGAAAUAAAGCCUGUCCACACAAAUGUUCGUAACAGCUUUAUUUAUAAUCACCGAAAGCUAGGAAAAAGCCAAAUCUCACAAGUAUUAUUGGCUUAUUGAAUGCUAGAUUAUUUGAAUUUGUUGUCCAUCCAGGAUAUGUCACUUAAAAACAAACAACAACGAAAAAAAACCAGCCCAGAUCUCCAGUUUAAUGGAGGUUUCCAAGUCAUCAGAUGAAGAUCAAGGUCUUAGUAUAACUCCCCAUCCUUCAUUUUGGAAUUAAAAUAUUACACAAAAAUGGGUGAAAUAAGGAUAUGUGGUAAUACAUUUCUGACCUAUGGCGGUGGAUGAAGACAUUACUUCACUUGGUCCUGUACUUCGGGGAGUAACGGAAUGGAAAAUUAAGUAAGUUUUUAUUCUAUGAAAAAAACAAAUUAACCAACCACAAAAUGUCCUGGUGCCUGGUUAAACUGGUGCAUCCAUACCAUGGAAUACUACUCAGCAGUAAAAAAGGAACAACAAACUUGAUAAAAGUGAGUGGCUUGGAUGAAUCUCGGGGGCAUUAAUGCUGAGUGAAAUAUACAUAUAUGCAUCUAUCUUAUACAUAUAAAAAUCACAUGCUGUACAAUUCCCUAUCUAUAAUAUUCUUGAAGUGACAAAAUCCUACACAUAGGGAACAGAUUUGUGGGUGCAGGGGGUUAGGAAUGGUAAGGGGCAAGCAUGGCUGUAUAUGACAGGGUAGCUUGAGAGAGUUCCUAGUGGUGAUAGAAUAGUUCUUGGUCGCACUGGUGAUUAUGCAAAUCUAUAUACGUGGUAAAAUGGGAUGGAACUGUACAUACACGUGCCAAUGUCAGAUGCCUGGUUUUGGUUUUGACAUUAUGCUAUAGCUUCAGAAGAUGUAGCCAUCAGGGGAGACUGGGUGAACAGUACACAGGACUGUGGUGUACUAUCUUUUUAACUUCCUCUGAAUUUAUAUUCUGUCGAAAAGUUUUAAGAUGUCUUUAGUGGUGAACAAAGAAAAUGGUAACACAUGUUAAUAAA
Molecule: long non-coding RNA, 2050 nt
Organism: Neofelis nebulosa (Clouded leopard)
Lineage: Eukaryota; Metazoa; Chordata; Mammalia; Carnivora; Felidae
Exons: 2
Source: RefSeq, a predicted model, not a curated record